RNAcentral lists this ribosomal RNA (484 nucleotides) under uncultured bacterium. RNAcentral's name for it is "partial 16S ribosomal RNA". It matches the Rfam family "Bacterial small subunit ribosomal RNA", at positions 30 to 507 of the family's 1533-position model. The record is from RNAcentral.
AUUGAACGCUGGCGGCAGGCCUAACACAUGCAAGUCGAGCGGAUGAAGGGAGCUUGCUCCUGGAUUCAGCGGCGGACGGGUGAGUAAUGCCUAGGAAUCUGCCUGGUCGUGGGGGAUAACGUCCGGAAACGGGCGCUAAUACCGCAUACGUCCUGAUGGUGAAAGUGGGGGAUCUUCGGACCUCACGCUAUCAGAUGAGCCUAGGUCGGAUUAGCUAGUUGGUGGGGUAAAGGCCUACCAAGGCGACGAUCCGUAACUGGUCUGAGAGGAUGAUCAGUCACACUGGAACUGAGACACGGUCCAGACUCCUACGGGAGGCAGCAGUGGGGAAUAUUGGACAAUGGGCGAAAGCCUGAUCCAGCCAUGCCGCGUGUGUGAAGAAGGUCUUCGGAUUGUAAAGCACUUUAAGUUGGGAGGAAGGGCAGUAAGUUAAUACCUUGCUGUUUUGACGUUACCAACAGAAUAAGCACCGGCUAACUUCGUG